RNAcentral lists this ribosomal RNA (643 nucleotides) under Anaplasma phagocytophilum. Its description in RNAcentral is "bacterial SSU rRNA". It matches the Rfam family "Bacterial small subunit ribosomal RNA", at positions 815 to 1456 of the family's 1533-position model. Lineage: Bacteria; Pseudomonadati; Pseudomonadota; Alphaproteobacteria; Rickettsiales; Anaplasmataceae. The record is from RNAcentral.
GCUGAAUGUGGGGAUAAUUUAUCUCCGUGUUGUAGCUAACGCGUUAAGCACUCCGCCUGGGGACUACGGUCGCAAGACUAAAACUCAAAGGAAUUGACGGGGACCCGCACAAGCGGUGGAGCAUGUGGUUUAAUUCGAUGCAACGCGAAAAACCUUACCACUCCUUGACAUGGAGAUUAGAUCCUUCUUAACAGAAGGGCGCAGUUCGGCUGGAUCUCGCACAGGUGCUGCAUGGCUGUCGUCAGCUCGUGUCGUGAGAUGUUGGGUUAAGUCCCGCAACGAGCGUAACCCUCAUCCUUAGUUGCCAGCGGGUAAUGCCGGGCACUUUAAGGAAACUGCCGGUGGUAAACUGGAGGAAGGUGGGGGAUGAUGUCAAGUCAGCACGGCCCUUAUGGGGUGGGCUACACACGUGCUACAAUGGUGACUACAAUAGGUUGCAAUGUCGCAAGGCUGAGCUAAUCCGUAAAAGUCAUCUCAGUUCGGAUUGUCCUCUGCAACUCGAGGGCAUGAAGUCGGAAUCGCUAGUAAUCGUGGAUCAGCAUGCCACGGUGAAUACGUUCUCGGGUCUUGUACACACUGCCCGUCACGCCAUGGGAAUUGGCUUAACUCGAAGCUGGUGCGCUAACCGAAAGGAAGCAGCCAU